UUAUUUAUUUUUUAAUGGGAAAACGUCAAAUACCCCCCUUGUGGUUUCACUUUUUUUCACUUUAGUACCAUGUGGUUUAAAGUGUAUCAAGUUAGUAUCAUGUGGUUUUGCACUUUUUCACUUUAGUACCCUGUGGUUUAAAGUGUGUCAAGGUAGUAUUUUGUGGUUUCGCACUGUGGUUUAAAGUGUGUCAAGGUAGUAUUUUGUGGUUUCGCACUUUAUCACUUUAGUACUAUGUGGUUUCGUACUUUAUCACUUUAGUACCCUGUGGUUUAAAAAUCACAGGGUACUAACUUGAUACAAAAAUAAAAUCACAAGGUACUAACUUGAUACAAAAAUAAAACCACAGAGUACUGACUUGAUACAUUUUGAACCACAGGGUACUAAAGUGAUAAAGUGAGAAACCACAUGGUACUAACUUGAUACACUUUAAACCACAGGGUACUAAAGUGAUAAAGUGAGAAACCACAUGGUACUAACUUGAUACACUUUAAACCACAGGGUACUAAAGUGAUAAAAUGAGAAACCACAUGGUACUAACUUGAUACACUUUAAACCACAGGGUACUAAAGUGAUAAAGUGAGAAACCACAUAGUACUAACUUGAUACACUUGAAACCACAUGGUAUUAAAAUGAAAAAGUGCGAAACCACAUGGUACUAACUUGUUUGCGCCAAGCUCAAUCUCACCAUCCUCAACAUCAUCCUCGAUGCCUACGACCCCAUC
RNAcentral lists this long non-coding RNA (725 nucleotides) under Ananas comosus (pineapple). Its description in RNAcentral is "long non-coding RNA (ACOM_LNC031097)". The record is from RNAcentral. Lineage: Eukaryota; Viridiplantae; Streptophyta; Magnoliopsida; Poales; Bromeliaceae.